GGUGAUAUGGCUCAGUGGUAGAGAGCAUCUGCCUAGCAAUCAUAAGGGCCUGAGUUCAAACCUCAGUAACACAC
RNAcentral lists this transfer RNA (74 nucleotides) under Dipodomys ordii (Ord's kangaroo rat). It matches the Rfam family "tRNA". Rfam says of the family: Transfer RNA (tRNA) molecules are approximately 80 nucleotides in length. Their secondary structure includes four short double-helical elements and three loops (D, anti-codon, and T loops). Lineage: Eukaryota; Metazoa; Chordata; Mammalia; Rodentia; Heteromyidae. The record is from Rfam by way of RNAcentral.